AGGAUCAACGCUGGCGGCGUGCCUAACACAUGCAAGUCGCACGAGAAAGGGACUUCGGUCCUGAGUACAGUGGCGCACGGGUGAGUAACACGUGAAUAAUCUACCUUCGAGUGGGGAAUAACUGAGAGAAAUCUUAGCUAAUACCGCAUAAUACCUACGGGUCAAAGCAGCAAUGCGCUUGAAGAGGAGUUCGCGGCAGAUUAGUUAGUUGGCGGGUAAUGGCCCACCAAGACGAUGAUCUGUA
Molecule: ribosomal RNA, 244 nt
Filed under: uncultured bacterium
Lineage: Bacteria
Description: partial small subunit ribosomal RNA
Rfam family: Bacterial small subunit ribosomal RNA
Source: RNAcentral